Molecule: long non-coding RNA, 463 nt
Organism: Homarus americanus (American lobster)
Lineage: Eukaryota; Metazoa; Arthropoda; Malacostraca; Decapoda; Nephropidae
Exons: 3
Source: RefSeq, a predicted model, not a curated record
CAGCGUGAACCAGUGUACCGGGACCUGAGGACCAGUGAGGUGGACCAGUGUACAGGACCAACAGCGUGAACCAGUGUACCGGGACCUGAGGACCAGUAGUGUGGACCAGUGUACCGGGACUCUGCAGCGUGGACCAGUGUACCGGGUCACUGUAGCGGGGUCAGGGAGGGAUGGCGUGGACCCCGAUACUGCCACUCAUCAUGGCCUCCAGCCUUACGGGCUGCUGGGGGCUACACAUCGUGGAUCUGGUGGUGCCGGAGGUGAUACAACGGGUCACGGUCGUCAGUGAUCCUGGACUGUGACUACAGGUAUGAACCCUACGAGAAGGAAGGCAUCGUCGUCAAUUGGUUCUUUAACCAUGACCCUGAGGCUGUGUACCAGUGGAUCCCCGGCAAGAACCCCGAGUCUAUGGGUGUACUGAAGGGUGUGUCAACCUGCAGUUUCCGCCAGUCGUGACCCUCUC